This 1180-nucleotide long non-coding RNA is filed under the name Capsella grandiflora. RNAcentral describes it as "long non-coding RNA (CGRA_LNC001197)". Lineage: Eukaryota; Viridiplantae; Streptophyta; Magnoliopsida; Brassicales; Brassicaceae. The record is from RNAcentral.
UGAGCUUCUCGUUUUCAACAAUUGCAGCCUGCAGCUCCUUUUCUUUGUGACUCAAACUUUCUUUCAGGUCUGACAGCUCGUCUAUCGUCUUUAGUGAUGAAACUUCCUUGGACUUCAGCUCCUCAUUUUCACAGACGACAGCCUGUAACUCAUUCUCUUUCACGAGCAAACUUGCAUUGAAAUUUGUUAACUCUUCUAUCUUCUUUUGGGAAAGAGAGUCCUUGGAUCUCAAGUCCUCAAUCUCUACGACCAUAUCAUGCAACUCAUUUUCUUUAUUAAGCAGAUCCUCUUGCACCUUCGACAACUCCUCAAUCUUCUUAAGAUAUGCGGUCUCCCUUUCUUUGAGCUCCUCUUUCUCAUGAAUAGAACUCUGGAGGCUGCUUUCUUUUUCAGAUAACAUUUCAUGCAGUUUUGACAACUCCUCAAUCUUUUGUAGAUACGCAGUCUCUCUUUCUCUCAAUUCCUCAUUUUCCUGAACAACUGUUUGCAAUCUGCUCGCUUUAUCAACUAAGCUUUCAUUCAGUUCUGACAACUCCUCUGUCUUCUUAAGUAAUGUACUCUCUCUUUCUCUGAGCUCCUUACUUUCUUCAGAUAUUUUCUGCAGAUUGGUCAAAUUACCAGCCAAGGUCCCAUUCGCCAUUGACAAUUCCUCAAUCUUCUUAAGAUAAUCAGCCUCCCUCUCUCUGAGAUCCUUACUUUCUUGCGCAAUGCUUUGCAUAUUGGCCACAUUAUCAACCAAGCUCUCAUUGGUCUUUGACAACUCCUCAAUCUUCUUCAAAUGAGCAGCCUCCCUUCCUCUGAGCUCCUCAGCCUCUUGAUUAAUGUGCUGCAGUUUGGUCUCUUUAUCAACCAAGCUCUCAUUUGCCCCUGACAACUCCUCAAUUUUCUUAAGAUAAGCAGUCUCUUUUUCUUUGAGAUCCUUACUUUCUUGAACAAUGCUUUGUAAAUCCGUUACGUUAUCAGCCAGGGUCUCAUUCACUACUGAUAACUCCAUAAUCUUCUUAAGAUAAUCAGCUUCCUUUUCUUUAAGAUCCUCACUUUCUUGAACAAUGUUCUGCAAUUUGGUUACGUUAUCAACCAAGUUUCCAUUCGCCAUUGUCAAUUCCUCAAUCUGCUUCACAUGAGCAACCUCCUUUGCUUUCAGCUCUUCAGCUUCUUGAGAAACGCUCUUUAACUUGGU